AUGAACGCUGGCGGCGUGCCUAAUACAUGCAAGUCGAGCGAACAGACGAGGAGCUUGCUCCUCUGACGUUAGCGGCGGACGGGUGAGUAACACGUGGAUAACCUACCUAUAAGACUGGGAUAACUUCGGGAAACCGGAGCUAAUACCGGAUAAUAUAUUGAACCGCAUGGUUCAAUAGUGAAAGACGGUUUUGCUGUCACUUAUAGAUGGAUCCGCGCCGCAUUAGCUAGUUGGUAAGGUAACGGCUUACCAAGGCAACGAUGCGUAGCCGACCUGAGAGGGGGAACGGCCACACAGGAAAUGAGACACGGUACAGAAUCCUACGGGAGGCAGCAGGAGGGAAGCUUACGAAAGGGGAGAAAGCCUGAAGGAGCAACGCCGAGUGAGGGAUGAAGGUCUUCGGAUCGUAAAACUCUGUUAUUAGGGAAAAACAAAUGGGUAAGUAAAUAUGCACGUCUUGAAGGGAACGAAUCAGAAAGCCACGGCUAACUACGU
This 495-nucleotide ribosomal RNA is filed under the name uncultured bacterium. RNAcentral describes it as "partial 16S ribosomal RNA". It matches the Rfam family "Bacterial small subunit ribosomal RNA", at positions 30 to 506 of the family's 1533-position model. The record is from RNAcentral.